AUUAUUUUGGCAGAAUAGUGCAUUAAAUUUAGAAUUUAAUUAUAUAUAAAUAAAUUAUAUGGAUAAUA
Molecule: transfer RNA, 68 nt
Filed under: Lasioglossum parvulum
Lineage: Eukaryota; Metazoa; Arthropoda; Insecta; Hymenoptera; Halictidae
Description: tRNA-Leu
Source: RNAcentral